UGGGGUUUUAGCUUUCAAACUACAACUUGAACAAGUUUGAUGAUGUUCAAAAAAGGUUAAUUUUGAGUUCUGUUCACCAGGUCUCGCCAGAUCUGCUAUCGUGAUCGAACACCACGUUAAAAAUACUGUUCGCAAAGCGGCCUUUGGGAACCGAUCACCGAACUCAGCGUUGAUUUCACAUAUUUUUUAGUGUAGACUAAAAUUCUAGGUAGCAUUUACAACCCCGGUAUUAUAGAUGCACUUCAAAAAAACUUUCUUGUCACAUGACUCGGAGUUGGGAGUUUAAAUUUUGCUCACAGUUUCAUUUUUCUUGUACGCAUGACUCCAUCCACCGAUUGAACAAACGUUUCACGUGGACAAGAUUUUUCUGUCCAAAUUAUUUUUUUCUCAGUUUUCCUUUAAACGUUUCAUAUAAAACAAAUCAAUGUCACAUCCCUUCAAUCCAAGCUCCACGUUAACUGAAAACACUUUGUGUUUAGUAUUCAUCCUAAGGAGUCGAAAGGCUGAUUAAAUUCAGUUUAAUUGGAACAGAUCGUUGUAUCCCUUGUUUUGGGGAUACAUUCAUGGACUUGAGACUGAAGUUUAAAACGAAGUUCAAGGGAAAACAAAAUGUCAAAUUUGAAUUGUUUAUGUUGCCCCAUUUAGGGACAUUGCACUUAAGAAGAUUAUUGCUGUCAAAUCUUCUGCUCUAUAGCCAUACAUAACAACAGGUCAGGUUAACAAUUUCAUUCACUAAAUGGAAGUUUUUUUUUUCAACGUGCGGGACCAUUUCUCAUCGGAUUUGGCAGAAAAGCUUUAAUGAGAAUUAAUGCCUGUUGGCUCAAAUAAAUGACGGAAGGGCCUCGGAAAACUGUGAAUAUCCAUCAUUUUUCGGACAUCAAGUUUUAAUUAGGAAGUUUGCAGAACUCUCAUUUUUUGUACAAGGAUGCCAUUUUAAAGACUCUAAGUGAAUAAAUGUUGAGAAGAUAAAUGGCACCUUGGUAACUCACUGUAUCAACUCCGGAUGCCGGGGUGAAAGGACUGACGAAAUCUCAAUCUCUCACUCAGGAAAGGCCUGGUGAACAGAAUGAAUGAUUUGACUGGCGAUUUAAAAUCAGAUGUUAAUGACACGUUUACAAGUGGCAGCUGCAAGACAUUUAAGUCCUGCAUACAUUCACGGGAAAGUUAAUUUGCUCCUAUUGUGUUUAUAUAACUCUUAUAUCACUUAGUUGCAAAUAAUAAAACUGGUAAACAAGUUUUUGAUUAGUUGCCGAUCACGGUAAACAUCAAAAACUUAAAAUGA
Long non-coding RNA from Pocillopora damicornis (cauliflower coral), 1282 nucleotides. The record is from RefSeq and is a predicted model, not a curated record. NCBI's taxonomy places the organism in Eukaryota, Metazoa, Cnidaria, Anthozoa, Scleractinia, Pocilloporidae.